This is a long non-coding RNA of Oreochromis niloticus (Nile tilapia), 982 nucleotides long. RefSeq lists it as uncharacterized. The transcript is spliced from 4 exons. Lineage: Eukaryota; Metazoa; Chordata; Actinopteri; Cichliformes; Cichlidae. The record is from RefSeq and is a predicted model, not a curated record.
CUGAUACCUAUCACUUGCUCAGCCUCUCUCUACCUCUCUCUCUCUUUGCUGGAGUGAGUCAUGAUAGUGAUCAUCAGCUUCCUGUGCAACCCCUCACACUUAUCCUCUGCAGCACACCAAGGAUAUGUUUUGUGCUAGUAUCUUUUGGGGGAGUUUUCCUCUGUGUUCCAGCUGGCCAUGUGCGUCUGUGAUCCAUGUGUACAGGUGGAAAAUUGCUACACUGUAAAGAGCCAACACUAUGAUCCAGGGGCUUCCAGCAUCCGAUAUGCAGAGGAGAUAAGUGUGAGAGCAGGACCCACAGAGUGCACUGAUGGGGCAGAGGCACUUCCACCCUUGUGCUGUUCAAGUUGACAAGAAAACCGCAAAGUAACUUCUGCUACCUCUACUGGAACAAAAGGUGAAGUGAAACUGGUCACAGAGACGGAACACCACAGCAGCCGAGAGCUAAAGGUCCUGACCCUCGGGUCAGCUGAGCAGCAGCAUGUGUGGGACAGAAAAAGCAGCAGUUGAGAGAAGCUCACAGCGCUGGCUGCCUGUGUGGCUUCCCCAUUGGUCGCUGCUUCCUUGUCUGCAGGGGAAGCAGGACAGUGCCAGGGUGCAAUGUUUUAUGAGCUGGUCUCAACCGAACUCACCACAUUCCCACAAGCAUUGCAAUGAAGGACGUGACUCUGGCCACGCAGCUGCUGCAGCCAGACCACAGGCGGCGUGCACUAAGCAUCAUAACACAUACACAUUCACAUAAUAUACUGUAUGCGUACAUAUACAUGCACAUAGACUGGUAGAAAUAUUGACUCACUGUAGUUCCGUUAAGUAACACAAGAAUUGCAAAGAUUUGUUUAAUUAAUGAGGAAUUAUUCAGUCGUUUUGUUUCUGAAGCGCUACAUUUAGCAACUUUAUUUAUUCUUAUGUCGCAAUCUAAAAUAAAAUCUAAAGUUUUUACUUUCUGGCUUUUUCACUCAUAUCUGUUAACCUCAUUAAACAA